This 432-nucleotide unclassified non-coding RNA is filed under the name soil metagenome. RNAcentral describes it as "partial contains 5.8S ribosomal RNA, internal transcribed spacer 2, and large subunit ribosomal RNA". The stretch from base 1 to 120 matches the Rfam family "5.8S ribosomal RNA", at positions 35 to 154 of the family's 154-position model. The record is from RNAcentral.
GAUGAAGAACGCAGCGAAAUGCGAUACGUAAUGUGAAUUGCAGAAUUCAGUGAAUCAUCGAAUCUUUGAACGCAUAUUGCGCUCUCUGGUAUUCCGGAGAGCAUGCUUGUUUGAGUAUCAGUAAACACCUCAAGUUCCAUAUCUUUUUUGAAAUGGGAGUUGGACUUGAGUGAUCCCAACGCUUUUCCUCACCGAAAAGUGGCGGGUUACUUGAAAUGCAGGUGCAGCUGGACUUUUCUCUGAGCUAUAAGCAUAUCUAUUUAGUCUGCCUAAAAAACAGAUUAUUACCUUUGCUGCAGCUAACAUAAAGGAGAUUAGUUCUUGUGCUGACUGAUGCAGGAUUCACAAAGACGGCUUCGGCCGACUUUGUAAACUCGAUCUCAAAUCAAGUAAGACUACCCGCUGAACUUAAGCAUAUCAAUAAGCGGAGGA